UACGGGGGGGGCAAGCGUUGUUCGGAAUUACUGGGCGUAAAGGGCUCGUAGGCGGCCAACUAAGUCAGACGUGAAAUCCCUCAGCUUAACUGGGGAACUGCGUCUGAUACUGGAUGGCUUGAGUGUGGGAGAGGGAUGCGGAAUUCCAGGUGUAGCGGUGAAAUGCGUAGAGAUCAUGAGGAAGACCAGUGGCGAAGGCGGGUCUCUGGACAGUUCCUGACACUGAGACACGAAGGCCAGGGGAGCAAACGGG
RNAcentral lists this ribosomal RNA (253 nucleotides) under uncultured bacterium. RNAcentral's name for it is "partial 16S ribosomal RNA". It matches the Rfam family "Bacterial small subunit ribosomal RNA", at positions 524 to 776 of the family's 1533-position model. The record is from RNAcentral.